UCCGGUUUGUCACCGGCAGUCUGGCGUGAGUCCCCAACUAAAUGAUGGCAACACGCCACAGGGGUUGCGCUCGUUACGGGACUUAACCCAACAUUUCACAACACGAGCUGACGACAGCCAUGCACCACCUGUCACCGACCCCCGAAGGGACCCCCCAUCUCUGAAGGAUUUCCGGCGAUGUCAAACCCAGGUAAGGUUCUUCGCGUCGCAUCGAAUUAAUCCGCAUGCUCCGCCGCUUGUGCGGGCCCCCGUCAAUUCCUUUGAGUUUUAGCCUUGCGGCCGUACUCCCCAGGCGGGGCGCUUAAUGCGUUAGCUACGGCACGGAACCCGUGGAAAGGCCCCACACCUAGCGCCCAACGUUUACAGCAUGGACUAC
Molecule: unclassified non-coding RNA, 376 nt
Filed under: uncultured Actinomycetes bacterium
Lineage: Bacteria; Bacillati; Actinomycetota; Actinomycetes
Description: uncultured actinobacterium contains 16S-23S intergenic spacer region
Source: RNAcentral